Hippocampus zosterae (dwarf seahorse) is the source of this 392-nucleotide long non-coding RNA. RefSeq lists it as uncharacterized. Lineage: Eukaryota; Metazoa; Chordata; Actinopteri; Syngnathiformes; Syngnathidae. The transcript has 2 exons. The record is from RefSeq and is a predicted model, not a curated record.
CAUGGAAGAGAAAAUGUUUGUUUUUGAGCAUCACAAAGAAAGAAGCAAAUGCCAAAAAAAAAAGACAAAAAAGUGCAACUUUUUAGAUUAUCUCCAUUAAAUUACGUGAGGUAUCAAACAGAAGCCAACUAAUUCACAGAACAAAACCAUCUAGAUAGCAUAGCACGGCAGUGAUUGGGAUUCCAUUCCAAAUCAGUGCAACAAUAUUGCGAUAGUAGACGCACAGCCACCUAAUCGCUACCCAAACUUAAAUACAUCCAUACAUAUACAGUAGAUGUCAAAUGUAUUCACACCCGUAUUUUAUGGAAGGUUUUUUGAUAUAAAAGAGAUCAUGAUAAAGAAGUUCAAAACUUUUCCAACCAUAAUUUUGACCUAUAUAUAAUCUGUAGGAA